AACGACUCUCGACAACGGAUAUCUCGGCUCUCGCAUCGAUGAAGAACGUAGCGAAAUGCGACACUUGGUGUGAAUUGCAGAAUCCCGUGAACCAUCGAGUCUUUGAACGCAAGUUGCGCCCGAAGCCAAUAGGCCGAGGGCACGUCUGCCUGGGUGUCACAU
This 162-nucleotide ribosomal RNA is filed under the name Apium australe. RNAcentral describes it as "5.8S ribosomal RNA". It matches the Rfam family "5.8S ribosomal RNA". Rfam says of the family: 5.8S ribosomal RNA (5.8S rRNA) is a component of the large subunit of the eukaryotic ribosome. It is transcribed by RNA polymerase I as part of the 45S precursor that also contains 18S and 28S rRNA. The record is from RNAcentral. Lineage: Eukaryota; Viridiplantae; Streptophyta; Magnoliopsida; Apiales; Apiaceae.